CCGUGCUAGACGGGGAGCCAGCGGUGCCCUGUAACCCGCAAUCCGCUAUAGCGGGGUUGAAUGCCUUUUUCGGCCUUUGCGUGGAAGCAAGCGCCAUAUUUAGGGUGCUGAAAUCAAGGUCUUAUGCAAUCGUUAACUGUGAAUCGUGUCAGAGCCUGACCGCAGCAGCACUAAGCGGACCUAAAGAUGUGCCAUGAGGUUGCUUUGAUGGAGCCUAAAAUAUGGUUUACUACUUUCAUCCGAUUGUCAACAAAGGAUGCACGG
Molecule: signal recognition particle RNA, 264 nt
Filed under: Christensenellaceae bacterium
Lineage: Bacteria; Bacillati; Bacillota; Clostridia; Christensenellales; Christensenellaceae
Description: signal recognition particle sRNA large type
Rfam family: Bacterial large signal recognition particle RNA
About the family: The signal recognition particle (SRP) is a universally conserved ribonucleoprotein involved in the co-translational targeting of proteins to membranes.
Source: RNAcentral